Myotis myotis is the source of this 1166-nucleotide non-coding RNA. Lineage: Eukaryota; Metazoa; Chordata; Mammalia; Chiroptera; Vespertilionidae. The record is from the annotation of a RefSeq genome assembly.
AUGGGCACCAGGCUCCUUUGCUGGGUGACCGUCUGUCUCCUGGGGGCAGAUGAGUCUAAGAGUGGAGUUACCCAGACCCCCAGACAUAAGGUCAUAGAAAAGAAUCAGGCCAUGGCUUUGUGUUGCAAUCCCAUUUCUGGCCACCAAACCCUUUGCUGGUACCAGCAGACCCCAGGACAGGGCCUAAAGCUUCUGGUUCGCUUUGAGAAUGAAGAUGCAAUGGAUGAUUCACAGCUGCCUAAGAAUCGAUUUUCUGCAGAGAGGCCCAAAAGAGCAGACUCCACUCUCAAGAUGCAGCGUGCAGAGCUGGGCGACUCGGCUGAGUAUUUCUGUGCCAGCAGCUUUAACUCGCCCCUCUACUUUGGGGUCGGCACCAGGCUCACCGUGACAGACAACCUGAACAAGGUGAAACCACCCAAGGUCACUGUGUUUGAACCAUCCGAAGCAGAGAUCGCCCGGACACAGAAGGCCACGCUUGUGUGCCUGGCCACAGGCUUCUACCCCGACCACGUGGAGCUGAGCUGGUGGGUGAAUGGGAAGGAGAUCCAGAGUGGGGUCAGCACAGACCCUCAGCCCUACAAGGAGCAGCGCAACCACAGUGACCCCACCUACUGUCUGAGCAGCCGGCUGAGGGUCUCUGCCACCUUCUGGCACAAUCCUCGCAACCACUUCCGCUGCCAAGUCCAGUUCUUUGGGCUAGAGGAAGGAGACAAGAAGAAUUGGGAGGACACCCGCCCCAUACCCAUCACCCAGAAUGUCAGUGCUGAGGUCUGGGGCAGAGCAGAUUGUGGCUUCACCUCAAGUUCCUACCAGCAAGGGGUCCUGUCUGCCACCAUCCUCUAUGAGAUACUGCUGGGGAAGGCCACUGUGUAUGCGGUGCUGGUCAGUGCCUUGGUGCUGAUGGCCAUGGUCAAGAGAAAGAAUUCCUGACACCAGCUCAGAGGUGCAGCCAGGAACUUCCAGCCUAUCUCCCCAAUAUGGAUUCCCCUUUUUCCAUUCCUAGCCAGUGCUUUUGAAGAGCUGUCUCAAUCUCUCAAUUCAUUCUGAUAUCCACCCGCUAUCUACUUGCAUAGCUGAACACUCAUGACUAAAAUCUCCCUAACCCCAGGAGACUCUGGUGUGCCUACAUUGACUGAACCAAUAAAAAUGGCCUGUUCUGGCUUGAU